RNAcentral lists this long non-coding RNA (311 nucleotides) under Homo sapiens (human). Its description in RNAcentral is "HSALNT0292977". Lineage: Eukaryota; Metazoa; Chordata; Mammalia; Primates; Hominidae. The record is from RNAcentral.
CAAUCCCUCAGGAUACAUUCUCUGAGCACUCGACUUGGUGGGAGUUUCAGGAAAUUCUGCAACAAGGCAGAGGGAGGAGGCUGGGAGAAGUUGAGAGAAAUGCUCAGACAGUAUGGGGGAGGAGGAGGCAAUCUGGAAAUCUUGCACUGAAAAAGGUUGGAACAUAUCUCUCUUCCACCUUCCUUCGUAAGGAGCCUCCACCAUUGGUCUGCUAUUUCUCCCCAACUUUCAGUCAGGGCUGUCUGAUGGAUUAAAUAGUGUCGUGAAUGUGAAAGAGCUCUAUACGCCAUUCAGUGCAAAGAAGAUAUGAA